GCAGACUAUAUAAAGACAUCUCAACAACAUAACGACCACGAGACAAUGUACAAAUACAUGGAAACAUUUUUGGGAGAAUCCGCUAAAGGAUUAUGGGAAGCCUAUAUACAUAUACACAUACACAUACAUACAGUAAAUAUUGUCAAAGAAAAAUAUACAUACUGUGAAUAAAAUAAAUAGAAAGGGAAUGCAAAUCUAAUUCUCUUUUGUUUGUAUUUACAUUGCCCUUAUAGUUACUUUGUAGUGCGAACACUUCUAUACAACACUUCAGCGCUUCAUUCCACUUUUAUGCUACAUUACUACUACUACGCCUCAAUCCAAAGCAAGCUGGAGUCGGCUUAUGCAUCCUCACUUCCAUGUUGCUCCAUUUUAGUCCGUCCAGUUGCAGUAUCAUAAAAACUUAGUUUCUCUAGUACUUGUGGUCAUAUUUAAGAAAAAGAUCCAUCCAAAAAGAAUGUAGCCAAAAGAAUACCAAAUGGCUUUGGUAGGUAGCUGUCGCUGCUUCUGUUGGAGUUAACUUCCUGUAAUAUGAAAUCCAAUAAGUGAGAACAAUAAAAGAUGACAAUAUGGAGCUAGAUAAAGAAGAAUCAUAAGUUACUUAUGAUAACUUCUUUCCUUUUGAAAUAACUUCCACUGAAAGAAGAAAUGGUGGCAAGGGAGUACUAACCAUUGAAAAUGUGGAAC
Molecule: long non-coding RNA, 684 nt
Filed under: Nicotiana tabacum (common tobacco)
Lineage: Eukaryota; Viridiplantae; Streptophyta; Magnoliopsida; Solanales; Solanaceae
Description: long non-coding RNA (NTAB_LNC008884)
Source: RNAcentral